RNAcentral lists this long non-coding RNA (1706 nucleotides) under Pan troglodytes (chimpanzee). Its description in RNAcentral is "long non-coding RNA NONPTRT016218". The record is from RNAcentral. Lineage: Eukaryota; Metazoa; Chordata; Mammalia; Primates; Hominidae.
UUAGAGAACUCCAGACAUUGGCAUAGUAUAUAUAUAUAUUUUUAAUGGGCUCUAUUAGUCUCCCAGAGAGGGAGUAAAUAGGGGGUAUGGUUGGGAUGAUCUUGAGAUUAUGUUCAUACUAAUCCCCUCUCUGGUUGGCUCUGGUCAGGGGUGUACAUCUGCCCUAAUUCUUUUUCCCUUUGGAAGCCCCUGAGGUUCAGCAUAGUGUUGGCAUAGGAAGGAGUUCAAGGUCAGAAUUUCUUCCCCGUUUGGAAGUCUUUAAGGUUCAGCAAGGUGUUGGCAUGGAGAAGAGCUCAAGGUCACAAUUCUUUGCCUCUUCGGAAGCCCUUGUGGUUCAGCAUGGUGUUGGCAUGGGGAAGAGUUCAAGGUCACAAUUCUUUUCUCCUUUGGAAGCUCUUAAGGUUCCGCAUGGUGUUGGCAUAAGGGAAAGGUCAAGGUCGGGAUUCUUUUUCCCCUUUGGAAGCUCCUAUUAAGGUUCAGCGUGAUGUUGGCAUGGGGAAGAGUUCAAGGUCAGAAUUCUUUUCUCCUUUGGAAGCUCUUAUUAAAGUUCAGUGUGGUGUUGUCAUGGGGAAGAGUUCAAAGUCAGAAUUUUUUUCUCCUUUGGAAGCUCUUAAAGUUCAACAUGGUGUCUGCAUGGGGAAGAGUUCAAGGUCAGAAUUCUUUUCUCCUUUGGAAGCUCCUAAGUUUCAACGUGGUGUUUGCAUGGGGAAGAGUCCAAGGUCAGAAUUCUUUGCCUCUUGUGGUUCAACAUGGUGAAGAGUUCAAAGUUAGAAUUCUUUUCUCCUUUGGAAGCUCUUAUUAAGGUUCAGCAUGGUGUUGUCAUGGAGAAGAGUUCAAAGUCAGAAUUUUUUUCUCCUUUGGAAGUCCUUGUGGUUCAGCAUGGUGUUUGCAUAAGGAAAAGGUCAAGGUCGGGAUUCUUUCUCCCCUUUGGAAGCUCUUAUUAAGGUUCAGCAUGGUGUUGGCAUGGGGAAGAGCUCAAGGUCACAGUUCUUUGUCUCUUUGGAAGCCCUUAUGGUUCAGCAUGGUGUUGGCAUGGGGAAGAGUUCAAGGUCAGAAUUCUUUUCUCCUUUGGAAGCUCUUAAGGUUCAGCGUGGUGUUGGCAUGGGGAAGAGUUCAAGGUCAGAAUUUUUUUCUCCUUUGGAAGCUCUUAAGGUUCGGCAUGGUGUUGGCAUGGGGAAGAGUUCAAGGUCAGAAUUCUUUUCUCCUUUGGAAGCCCUUAAGGUUCAGCCUGGUGUUGUCGUGGGGAAGAGUUCAAAGUCAGAAUUCUUUUCUCCUUUGGAAGCCUUUGUGGUUCAGCAUGGUGUUUGCAUGGGGAAGAGUUCAAGGUACUGGAAACUGGAGAACUUCCAUCAGCAGAGGACAACAAUUUACAGUUGCUCACCAUUUUAGAAGUCACCUCUAAGAACUUGGUGACUGCCAACAAGUACCUGCUGUUCCUUAGCAGACUGAAAGUCGAGCUUCGCUUUGUGGCUGCCAAUGGGAGGGACAGAAAAAAAGACAGACAAAAGGAGGGACUGAGAAACAAAGCAUGCUUUCUCCCCUCCAAAUAGAGGUUUUCUUCCCUGUUUGGCAAGGAAUUGGGAGGUAAAGUGGCUGAGGCUGUGAUGACUGACAUAGCCCUUGAUACAUGUUUGUCAUUGCUGUUAUUCAUUCAUAACUUUGGAAUCAUUCCAACUACUGACUCCAGAAAGUUGGCUGGAAUGUUU